RNAcentral lists this ribosomal RNA (2124 nucleotides) under Triticum aestivum (bread wheat). Its description in RNAcentral is "partial small subunit ribosomal RNA". Lineage: Eukaryota; Viridiplantae; Streptophyta; Magnoliopsida; Poales; Poaceae. The record is from RNAcentral.
CUUUCUUCUCCGCCGUCAAUUUUCCUCGUCUCUCCCUCCACCAUGCGCCUCAACUCCGCCGCCACCUCUCCUCGGAUGUCCGCCCACGGUCUGCCCAGAGGGACAGAGGGGGCCACCAAGCGACGGCAGAGCGGGUUCAUAGAGACGGAGAGGGUGAGUCCAUGGCCAGACGAGGGAGGAAGACAGAUGGCGGGGUGGAUCGGGUGCCCUAGGCCUAUGCUGUCGGCCUCCUCGUGCUGCUCACCAUCUCCGUCGCCGUCCUCAUCGCCAUCUGCCACUCCUCCUUCCCCCUGCCCAGACCGCGGGAAGAAGCCGAGAAGGGAGGCCGACCGGCGGCAGCCACGCUCGACAACAUCCUCGCCUUCGCAUCAAGGGAGAGGAAGUCGCCUCUGCGUCCCUCAUCUGUGAGUUUCUUUUCGGGCCACCGACUCCACGGAGCUUGUCAAGAUGGUUGUUACGCAGAUGGUUGUUGUUGUGCUCUUUGUUCGUGUUCGUGCUUGUGUAGCUCCCACUCUGCUGCAGGAGGAUUGGGUUGGAUUGGUUUCCACUUGCCCUGUUCUCUGUUUGAGAACCUGAGAUGCAGCCCUCCAAAUCUUGGGCCCUAGGAAAGGGAGAUUUGUUUUGCUUCUACUCUACAUUCACUGUUGUUAUCUUCACUUUGCCACUCAUGGACGCUUCUUUGUUUCUUUUUUAUGCAUGUGUGGUCUGGGUGACAGGAGAACAAGUUCCUCAAGUUAAUGUGGAAUCCAUUCUCAACUUGUUACCACAGGGGUAAGCCCCCGAGUCAUACAUACAUCUCAACUUGUGAACAUUUUUUUAGCCAAUCUUGUUUGCUGCAUACACAAUUACAGUUCAGGAUAGAAAACAGAUUGUAUAUUGUGAUAUACAGUUCUUGGUCGCAGGUCUGUAGUUGUGUCAUGUGCGUUCAUUGCAGGUGCUCCUCUCCUCCCCAGCUCUCUCCCCCCUCUCUCUUUCUCUCUUCACAUGUACUAUCUCCUGAUUUUAGAUCUUUCUCAUCUUUUUUGACCAUCCCCUGCCAUGUGUGAGAACAAGGAGUAAUACUGCUCAUGUUUUUACAUCCUAAUUGAUUAUAUUUUGUACAACAGCUUGUUCUUUUAAUGGUAGUUUGUUACCUGCUUAGUUAUUCUGUUAUUGACAUGGUCAUUCCAUUUUUAUGACAAUAAAUGAGCUAUUUAAGUCCAGUCUCAUGGUUUUUUAUUGCUGCUGUUUCUCGUUGGAUAUUCAGGAAUCAAAUUGACAACACAUAUUCUAUAGGUGUUCCUAAUAGCAACAGUGGUAAUCAACAACGAGAAAAAAAAAGUGUGGGGCUGGAUUUGUACUAGGAUGAGCAGUACAGUGGAGGGGAUUGUGUGGCAGUCCAAGGAAGUCUCUAGGAGAAUGCAGUUUUCUGGGUCCAGCUUUUUAACCCUGGACUUUCCGUGGAAGGAUACGUACAUCUGCCUUAUUCGAUAACCAAAACUGGAUGCUCUACCAAGCACCUGUCCAGCCCUGUGUGAGCUACACUUCAAUUUGUAUUCUCAGCAAACCAAAAGAAAUGAUGCUGACAUUCCGGUCAGAUGAAGUGAUUUGUUCAAGCCACAACAAUAAAGAGAAGAUGGAAUAUGUGGUGAGCUAUCUCAAAAAAGUCCGAAGCCAUUCAUCUUUGGGACCAAGCUGUAUGCACGUAGCUGGGCUCUCCAUGGGCAGCAGAUGGAAUAUGUGGCGAGCUAUCUCAAAAAAGUCCGAAGCCAUUCAUCUUUGGGACCAAGCUGUAUGCACGUAGCUGGGCUCUCCAUGGGCAGCAUGGCGCUGGUGAACACCAACAAAGCCUUUGACGCUCUCCUAAAUUAUGAGAACUGUUCCUUCAGAUGCAUGCCAAAACAUCUUCGUCUCACUAUUCACUCCCUGGAGACAUCGUCAUUAAUCUGUAUUGUCACCUAUAGCUUGUAUGGCAAACUUCAUGUUCAUAAUGUUUUUGUGCCAUGUGUGAUGCGCUCAGCAGUUGGUUAUAUUCCCUUGUGGAUUAUUGUUUCCUAUAAAGAGUGGAUCAUCCAUCUAAACUACUAUACAAGUAUCAAUGCAGAUGACCUUAAUUAUCUUUCUUUCUCUUUCAAUCAAUUUUAG